GCCAAACCGUAAAAUUAACUCACAAUAAUAAACGCCAGGGUAUUACGAGCUUUAGCUUAAAACCCAAAGGACUUGACGGUGUCCCACCCCACUAGAGGAGCCUGUUAUUUAAUCGAUGAUCCACGUUAUACCUAACCAUUUUUUGCUUUUCAGCCUGUAUACCUCCGUCGCAAGCUUACCCUAUGAAUGUCACACAGUAGGCCCAAUAGUCUAAACACUACAACGUCAGGUCAAGGUGCAGCUUAUAAAAUGGUAAUUAAUGAGCUACAAUUUCUGACACAGAACAAACGAAUUACUACCUGAAAUAUAGUUAUGAAGGAGGAUUUAGUAGUAAAUAGAGAAUAAAGAGCUCUAUUAAACCUGCCCUGGGACGUGUACAAACCGCCCGUCACCCUCUUCGAUAGCCUUCACUUAGCUUCAUAACCCAUUCUAGCACUUUAGAAGAGGCAAGUCGUAACAUGGUAAGUGUACUGGAAAGUGCACUUGGAAUAACAAAAUGUACCUUAAUUAAAGCUUUUCGCUUACACCGAAAAAAUAUUUGUGCAACCCAAAUCAUUUUGAGCCUACAAUCUAGCCUAUAAUAUUUUCAAAUAAACACAAACUUAUUACCCUAUUAACAUAAAACAUUUUAAUAAUAUAGUAGAGGCGAUCAAACAAUACUUAGCGCUUUAGAUAAAGUACCGCAAGGGAAGGAUGAAAUAAAAAUGAAAACCCAAAGCUAAUAAAAGCAGAGACCACAACUCG
This 744-nucleotide ribosomal RNA is filed under the name Philautus hosii (Borneo bubble-nest frog). RNAcentral's name for it is "partial 12S ribosomal RNA". The stretch from base 1 to 499 matches the Rfam family "Bacterial small subunit ribosomal RNA", at positions 794 to 1533 of the family's 1533-position model. Lineage: Eukaryota; Metazoa; Chordata; Amphibia; Anura; Rhacophoridae. The record is from RNAcentral.